RNAcentral lists this long non-coding RNA (975 nucleotides) under Triticum aestivum (bread wheat). Its description in RNAcentral is "long non-coding RNA (TAES_LNC023830)". Lineage: Eukaryota; Viridiplantae; Streptophyta; Magnoliopsida; Poales; Poaceae. The record is from RNAcentral.
AUUAUUUCUGUUGAUAUGUUUCUCACUAAACUUGGUCAAACUAAACAAUGUUUGACUUCCAAAAAAAUAUGCACACUGCACUUAGGAAUAGAGGGAGUACAGUCAAUAUCUAUCUUUAUUGUGUUUUUUUCUUUAUUAACAAUUUAAAAUGUUUUGCGUUGAAUUAAGUAUCUAUUUUGCCUUAGUUAGAAUGCACAACAAGUAUCCCCGCAAAAAAGAAAAAAGAAAGCACAUCCAGUAGUAAUUGUACAACCAUCAGUCAGAGCUUCAAGAUAGUUGUCAUCUAAACCUUUGUUCGGCAGCCAAUGAUAGGUUGUUCAAUAAUCAUGUGAAAACCUCUGUGCAAUUCCAUCUAAUGUAUUCAUUCCUCCUUGGACCGACCUUCACUACACAUGAACCAGAAAGAAUGCCAAUGCUGCCCAAACGGUUAUGAAUGGAAUGGUAAGUGAUGCCGACAGUCGAUGAGAAUCGUUCGGCAGCCAUGGGUACGCAUCUGGAGGCGGCAUCACGCAGUUCUCGCCGUUGAAGUACACUCGCCUCGGAAACGCCCAUCCUUUCUGGAAGGUGAAGGUUGCCGGGUCCUUCCGGAACAAAAGCUCAGACUGAACAUUUCCAUUAUGCUGGGCAGUCAUGAGCAGGUCAUUGUAGUACUUGAUGCCCCACAUCAUCCCGGUGUCGUCUGCGACAAGAGAGCAAUAACUUGUCAGUAGCUGGAACAUGAACAUUUUUUUUUUCUAACUCUGCAUCAUCAGAAUGAUGCAUGGAGACAAAUAUACAUUGCAUAAUGUAUAAGUUUUCAGGGGAAGAUGAUUGAAGCAAAGCCCUCACUUAUUGUUCCAUAAGGGUUCAGAUCUUUGUAUCUGAAGCUGAAGAUAGUGGUCAGGUUGUUGAAGUUCGGGUGCUGCGCGACGAGGUUCCACUGCGAGUAGUUCAUCAGGUAGUUGAGGUUUGUCGCCGUGAUCUUCACCCUCCAGU